Molecule: ribosomal RNA, 450 nt
Filed under: uncultured bacterium
Lineage: Bacteria
Description: partial 16S ribosomal RNA
Rfam family: Bacterial small subunit ribosomal RNA
Source: RNAcentral
GUGGGGAAUAUUCCGCAAUGGACGAAAGUCUGACGGAGCAACGCCGCGUGAGUGAUGAAGGUUUUCGGACUGUAAAGCUCUGUUGUUUAGGACGAAAGUGCCUGUUGCAAACAGUUACAGGUAUUGACGGUACUAAACGAGGAAGCCACGGCUAACUACGUGCCAGCAGCCGCGGUAAUACGUAGGUGGCAAGCGUUGUCCGGAAUUAUUGGGCGUAAAGAGCAUGUAGGCGGGAAUCUAAGUCUGUUGUGAAAAUGCGGGGCUCAACCCCGUAUUGCGAUGGAAACUGGGUUUCUUGAGUGCAGGAGAGGAAAGGGGAAUUCCCAGUGUAGCGGUGAAAUGCGUAGAUAUUGGGAGGAACACCAGUGGCGAAGGCGCCUUUCUGGACUGUGUCUGACGCUGAGAUGCGAAAGCCAGGGUAGCGAACGGGAUUAGAUACCCCAGUAGUCC